UGACGCGUGGCCAAGCGGUAAGGCGCCUGACUCUGAAUCAGGUUAUCGUUGGUUCGAAUCCAGCCGCGUCAG
This 72-nucleotide transfer RNA is filed under the name Chloroflexota bacterium. RNAcentral's name for it is "tRNA-Gln". It matches the Rfam family "tRNA". From Rfam's summary of the family: Transfer RNA (tRNA) molecules are approximately 80 nucleotides in length. Their secondary structure includes four short double-helical elements and three loops (D, anti-codon, and T loops). RNAcentral also lists the same sequence under 1 other name. Lineage: Bacteria; Bacillati; Chloroflexota. The record is from RNAcentral.